GAAGGGGGCUAGCGUUUGUUCGGAAUUACUGGGCGUAAAGCGCGCGUAGGCGGGUUCUUAAGUCAGGGGUGAAAUCCCGAGGCUCAACCUCGGAACUGCCUUUGAUACUGAGAGCCUAGAGUCCGGGAGAGGUGAGUGGAACUCCUAGUGUAGAGGUGAAAUUCGUAGAUAUUAGGAAGAACACCAGUGGCGAAGGCGGCUCACUGGCCCGGUACUGACGCUGAGGCGCGAAAGCGUGGGGAGCAAACAGGAUUAGAUACCCUGGGUAGUCCACGCCGUAAACGAUGGAUGCCAGCUGUCGGGCAGUAUACUGUUCGGUGGCGCAGUUAACGCAUUAAGCAUCCCGCCUGGGGGAGUACGGUCGCAAGAUUA
This 372-nucleotide ribosomal RNA is filed under the name uncultured organism. Its description in RNAcentral is "partial 16S ribosomal RNA". It matches the Rfam family "Bacterial small subunit ribosomal RNA", at positions 527 to 896 of the family's 1533-position model. The record is from RNAcentral.